GUGCCAGCAGCCGCGGUAAUACGUAGGGGGCGAGCGUUGUCCGGAAUCAUUGGGCGUAAAGAGCGUGUAGGUGGACUGGAAGGUCUGGUGUGAAAGCCCGGGGCUCAACCCCGGAGGGUCACUGGAAACCAACAGUCUUGAGUCCGGAAGAGGAGAGUGGAAUUCCUGGUGUAGCGGUGGAAUGCGCAGAUAUCAGGAGGAACACCGAUGGCGAAGGCAGCUCUCUGGUACGUGACUGACACUGAGACGCGAAAGCGUGGGGAGCGAACAGGAUUAGAUACCCUGGUAGUCC
RNAcentral lists this ribosomal RNA (292 nucleotides) under uncultured bacterium. Its description in RNAcentral is "partial 16S ribosomal RNA". It matches the Rfam family "Bacterial small subunit ribosomal RNA", at positions 505 to 796 of the family's 1533-position model. The record is from RNAcentral.